This 554-nucleotide ribosomal RNA is filed under the name uncultured bacterium. RNAcentral describes it as "bacterial SSU rRNA". It matches the Rfam family "Archaeal small subunit ribosomal RNA", at positions 725 to 1275 of the family's 1478-position model. The record is from RNAcentral.
AGUGAAUAGAUACCCGGGUAGUCCUAGCCGUAAACGAUACUCGCUAGGUGUCGGCCACGGUGCGACCGUUGUCGGUGCCGUAGGGAAAGCCGUGAAGCGAGCCACCUGGGAAGUACGGCCGCAAGGCUGAAACUUAAAGGAAUUGGCGGGGGAGCACCACAACGGGUGGAGCUUGCGGUUUAAUUGGAUUCAACGCCGGAAAUCUUACCGGGACCGACAGCAACAUGAAGGCCAGGCUGAAGACUUUGCCGGAUUAGCUGAGAGGUGGUGCAUGGCCGUCGUCAGUUCGUACUGUGAAAGCAUCCUGUUAAGUCAGGCAACGAGCGAGACCCACGCCCACAGUUGCCAGCGUACUCUCCGGAGUGACGGGUACACUGUGGGGACCGCCGCUGCUAAAGCGGAGGAAGGAAUGGGCAACGGUAGGUCAGUAUGCCCCGAAUAUCCCGGACUACACGCGAGCUACAAUGGUUGGUACAAUGGGUAUCUACCCCGAAAGGGGAUGGAAAUCUCCUAAAGCCAAUCUUAGUUCGGAUUGAGGGCUGCAACUCGCCCUC